CUCUUUUGCCAAGUAGGGGAAAUAGCCAUCCCUGUUUCUCAUCCUUGGUAAAUGUUGUAAGAAGAAAUAUUUUGAAUGAGAUGGAGAGUGUGGAGCCAUAUGGAUAGUGAGCUCCUGGAGGGAAGACCCUGCAGCUUCUACAAUGGUGACUGAGAAAGAGUAGACACUCAGGAUGUUGAAUGAAUCUAUAAAACGUAUGGAAUUUGAAUUGGUGGAUAUGUGACAUGAGGAUCAAGUAAAAGUGUAUUUCUCCCCAUACUUUCAGCCACACUCCCCAAUAUCAUUUGGCCAUAACAUUCCUUUCCAAGACUGUAUUGGAGAUUCAAUAAGAUAUGGAAAAAAUACCUAAGACAGUGCCUGGUAGACAGCAGGCACCGGAGAUGGAAGACAGCCCGUCUGCAUUACAGUAGUCCCCCUUGUUGUGGGGGAUACGUUCCAAGACCCCCAGUGGACGCCUGAAACUGCAGGUAGUACUGAACCCUAUAUAUACUGUGUUUUUUCCAGUACGUAUAUAUUUGAGGUGCAACAGCAAAAGUAUUUCUUUUCCUUCUUAGCAGUUUCACGGAUAGAAGUUUUGUUCUUACUGUAGAUCUCAGCAUCCUCAACAUGCGAUUUUUUUCUUUCCUUAUUAAGUUGGGAACUUUCAGUUUUUCACUUAAAGGAAGCACUUUAUGGCUUCUCUUCGGCAUAUCCGAAUUGUCACCAUGACUACUCUUGCACUUUGGGGCCAUUAUUAAGUAAAAUAAGGGUUACUUGAACACAAGCACUGCGAUACUGCGACAGUCGAUGUGAUAACCGAGUUGGCUAACAAACAACUAACAGGCAGGUGGCGUAUACAGUGUGGAUAUGCUGCACACAGGGAUGAUUCAUGCCCCAAGAGGGACAGAGCAGGACAGCACAAGAUUUCAUUACGUUACUCAGAACGGCACACAAUUGAAAACUUAUGAAUUGUUUAUUUCUGGAAUUUUCCAUUUCAUAUUUUCAGACCACAGUUGACAGCAGGUUACCAAAACCGCAAAAAGUGAAACCUCAAAUAAGGGGGCACUACUGAAGUUUUGUUCUGCAAAAUGUGGGUUGGAAACCUGCAUAAUGAGUUUUCAUAAGAAAGGCAAGACUUGCUGAUGACCUCUGUGGACUUCAAUUUCUUCCUCUAUUUAUAUGCAAACUAAAUAGUAUGGUCUCUCCUAGUGGGGAAAACUCUGAAAAUUCCAUGCCUCUCUAAUCACAGCCACUAGAGCUCCCAUUUCUCAGAUUCUCUUGCAAAGUGGAUGUCAAGGCAGCUCUCUCCUCUGUAGGAUUGCUACAGAAGGAAGAGAAGCCCCUGGAAGCCUGGCAGAAGCUGCAUUUUCCUCCGUGGCCCCUCCUCCGGAGCUGCGCUGCGCUGCGUGUUGUUGCAGUUGUACUGUACUGUUCUACCGCAUGGAUUCAUAGUUAACAUUUUUCUUCCAGGCACAUUCAAAACAUUUGGCUUGCAUCCUCCUUGAGCUGUUUUAUAAGGGCAAUAACCGAGGCCAGGGUGUGCUCUUGUCAGCAGGCAAAGCACGCAGCGGAGGCUGCCAAAGAGUUUCCUGCUCAGGGGCCACCCAUCCUUGGCUGCAGGACACAAGGCUGGAGCUCAUGGCAACUUGCACAGAGCGAGCGCCGGGACUUUCUGUUCUCAGGGCUCAUGCUUUGGAUUCCAGCCUUCAGCCCUGCUGCAUUGAUCAGUGGAGGCUGUUGUGUUUGUGCUUGUUUGGGACGAGCUCAGAACACAUGUCACAGCAGUGGUUCAAGGCCUAGCUCUAAGGCUUGGAGCUGGGAGAAUGCUCUUUAAAGACUAGCAAGCCGCUCUUCCCGCCUGUUAAUGCAGGCACAGAGUUCCCACGGAUCAGCUGCAGGGGAGAAAGGCAUUCCCUUCAUCCCACUCUCUGUGAAUUAACUUCGGGAAGGACAGACAACACAGACGCCAAAUGGAGGGUUCCAACACUGCUACCCCACCCUCUCUGAAGUCCACCUUGGCAGAAGCGGAUCUCUUCUCAUGUGUUAUUUAUUGCCAAAGACCGUGACCGGGAGAAUCCGCAAUAGAUCCCUGAAGCUGUUUUUUCAGGAUUUCCUUUGAUUGGAAGCUCUUGGCUGUGCCUUCUGCAGCUGGCUCUGUCACAGAGCUGAGGGCUCAGAGUGUCCCCCAAGUGACAGCUGCCAUGCCAGCACAAAGGAGGGUCUGGCUGUGAAAGUGCCUUGAUGCUCUAAAGAACACACAAAUGGACAGGGUAUUGUUACUCCUUCACUCACCAGCAGGGAGGCAAUGCGAUGUCAUGAGCGGAAGGAACACGGGCUCAAGCCCCAGAGACGCAAGUUGAAAUGUCAGCUCUUCCACUGACCCACAGUGUGGGCUUGGUCUCAGUCUUCUCGUCUGUAAAAUGGCAAUGAAAAGAUUUACCCCCAAACUUUCAGCCAAGAAUCAAUAAGACACAGCAUGCAAUGUUCAGCUCCUUUCCUCUAAAUUCCAAACUUAGUCUGGAAAUUUUAAAGCCGUUUAGAUGACCCUAAAUACUUUCUUUAUCUUUUUCAUUUAUCCAUUAUUCAUUCUGUCAGCAUUCAAUAAAUAAGAAAGAAUAUUUCAG
Long non-coding RNA from Equus caballus (horse), 2603 nucleotides. The record is from Ensembl. NCBI's taxonomy places the organism in Eukaryota, Metazoa, Chordata, Mammalia, Perissodactyla, Equidae.